GAUGAACGCUGGCGGCGUGCCUAAUACAUGCAAGUCGAGCGAACAGACGAGGAGCUUGCUCCUCUGACGUUAGCGGCGGACGGGUGAGUAACACGUAGAUAACCUACCUAUAAGACUGGGAUAACUUCGGGAAACCGGAGCUAAUACCGGAUAAUAUAUUGAACCGCAUGGUUCAAUAGUGAAAGACGGUUUUGCUGUCACUUAUAGAUGGAUCCGCGCCGCAUUAGCUAGUUGGUAAGGUAACGGCUUACCAAGGCAACGAUGCGUAGCCGACCUGAGAGGGUGAUCGGCCACACUGGAACUGAGACACGGUCCAGACUCCUAUGGGAGGCAGCAGUAGGGAAUCUUCCGCAAUGGGCGAAAGCUUGACGGAGCAACGCCGCGUGAGUGAUGAAGGUCUUCGGAUCGUAAAACUCUGUUAUUAGGGAAGAACAAAUGUGUAAGUAACUAUGCACGUCUUGACGGUACCUAAUCAGAAAGCCACGGCUAACUACGUG
RNAcentral lists this ribosomal RNA (497 nucleotides) under uncultured bacterium. RNAcentral describes it as "partial 16S ribosomal RNA". It matches the Rfam family "Bacterial small subunit ribosomal RNA", at positions 28 to 507 of the family's 1533-position model. The record is from RNAcentral.